UACGUAGGGUGCAAGCGUUAUCCGGAAUUAUUGGGCGUAAAGAGCUCGUAGGCGGUUUGUCGCGUCUGCUGUGAAACUGGGGGCUCAACCCCCAGCCUGGCAGUGGGUACGGGCAGACUAGAGUGCGGUAGGGGAGAUUGGAAUCCUGGUGUAGCGGUGGAAUGCGCAGAUAUCAGGAAGAACACCAACGGCGAAGGCAGCUCGCUGGGACGGUACUGACGCUGAGACGCGAAAGCGUGGGGAGCGAACAGG
Molecule: ribosomal RNA, 252 nt
Filed under: uncultured bacterium
Lineage: Bacteria
Description: partial 16S ribosomal RNA
Rfam family: Bacterial small subunit ribosomal RNA
Source: RNAcentral